GAUGAACGCUGGCGGCGUGCCUAAUACAUGCAAGUCGAGCGAACAGAUGAGGAGCUUGCUCCUCUGACGUUAGCGGCGGACGGGUGAGUAACACGUGGAUAACCUACCUAUAAGACUGGGAUAACUUCGGGAAACCGGAGCUAAUACCGGAUAAUAUAUUGAACCGCAUGGUUCAAUAGUGAAAGACGGUUUUGCUGUCACUUAUAGAUGGAUCCGCGCCGCAUUAGCUAGUUGGUAAGGUAACGGCUUACCAAGGCAACGAUGCGUAGCCGGCCUGAGAGGGUGAUCGGCCACACUGGAACUGAGACACGGUCCAGACUCCUACGGGAGGCAGCAGUAGGGAAUCUUCCGCAAUGGGCGAAAGCCUGACGGAGCAACGCCGCGUGAGUGAUGAAGGUCUUCGGAUCGUAAAACUCUGUUAUUAGGGAAGAACAAAUGUGUAAGUAACUAUGCACGUCUUGACGGUACCUAAUCAGAAAGCCACGGCUAACUACGUG
This 497-nucleotide ribosomal RNA is filed under the name uncultured bacterium. Its description in RNAcentral is "partial 16S ribosomal RNA". It matches the Rfam family "Bacterial small subunit ribosomal RNA", at positions 28 to 507 of the family's 1533-position model. The record is from RNAcentral.